UUGAUCUCAAAUCAGGUAGGACUACCCGCUGAACUUAAGCAUAUCAAUAAGCGGAGGAAAAGAAACUAACAAGGAUUCCCCUAGUAACUGCGAGUGAAGCGGGAAGAGCUCAAAUUUGAAAUCUGGCGUGCCUCUGGUCGUCCGAGUUGUAGUCUGGAGAAGCGUUUUCCGUGUUGGACCGUGUACAAGUCUCUUGGAACAGGGCGUCAUAGAGGGUGAGAAUCCCGUCUUUGACACGGACUACCAAUGCUUUGUGAUGCGCUCUCAAAGAGUCGAGUUGUUUGGGAAUGCAGCUCAAAAUGGGUGGUAAAUCCAUCUAAAGCUAAAUAUAGGCGAGAGACCGAUAGCGAACAAGUA
RNAcentral lists this ribosomal RNA (357 nucleotides) under uncultured fungus. RNAcentral's name for it is "eukaryotic LSU rRNA". It matches the Rfam family "Eukaryotic large subunit ribosomal RNA", at positions 1 to 350 of the family's 3401-position model. Lineage: Eukaryota; Fungi. The record is from RNAcentral.